Molecule: transfer RNA, 73 nt
Filed under: Heterocephalus glaber (naked mole-rat)
Lineage: Eukaryota; Metazoa; Chordata; Mammalia; Rodentia; Bathyergidae
Rfam family: tRNA
About the family: Transfer RNA (tRNA) molecules are approximately 80 nucleotides in length. Their secondary structure includes four short double-helical elements and three loops (D, anti-codon, and T loops).
Source: Rfam by way of RNAcentral
GGGGAUUUAGCUCAGUGGUUCUGGUGCCUGCCUCGAAAGCAUAAGGUCCUGAGUUCGAUCCCCAGUACCCCCC